GAGGGUAUAGCUCAGUGAUUGAAUGCAUGCUUAGCAUGCAUGAAGUCCUGGGUUCAGUCCCCAGUACCUCCU
Molecule: transfer RNA, 72 nt
Organism: Camelus ferus (Wild Bactrian camel)
Lineage: Eukaryota; Metazoa; Chordata; Mammalia; Artiodactyla; Camelidae
Rfam family: tRNA
About the family: Transfer RNA (tRNA) molecules are approximately 80 nucleotides in length. Their secondary structure includes four short double-helical elements and three loops (D, anti-codon, and T loops).
Source: Rfam